RNAcentral lists this ribosomal RNA (483 nucleotides) under uncultured bacterium. RNAcentral's name for it is "partial 16S ribosomal RNA". It matches the Rfam family "Bacterial small subunit ribosomal RNA", at positions 28 to 507 of the family's 1533-position model. The record is from RNAcentral.
GACGAACGCUGGCGGCGUGCUUAACACAUGCAAGUCGAACGCUGAAGCUCAGCUUUUGUUGGGUGGAUGAGUGGCGAACGGGUGAGUAACACGUGAGUAACCUGCCCCCUUCUUUGGGAUAACGCCCGGAAACGGGUGCUAAUACUGGAUAUUCACUGGUCUUCGCAUGGGGGUUGGUGGUAAGGGUUUUUCUGGUGGGGGAUGGGCUCGCGGCCUAUCAGCUUGUUGGUGGGGUGAUGGCCUACCAAGGCUUUGACGGGUAGCCGGCCUGAGAGGGUGACCGGGCACAUUGGGACUGGGAUACGGCCCAGACUCCUACGGGAGGCGGCAGUGGGGAAUAUUGCACAAUGGGCGCAAGCCUGAUGCAGCGACGCCGCGUGAGGGAUGGAGGCCUUCGGGUUGUGAACCUCUUUCGCUCAUGGUCAAGCCGCAACAAUGGUUGUGGUGAGGGUAGUGGGUAAAGAAGCGCCGGCUAACUACGUG